AACGAACGCUGGCGGCAUGCCUAACACAUGCAAGUCGAACGAGACCUUCGGGUCUAGUGGCGCACGGGUGCGUAACGCGUGGGAACCUUCCCUUAGGUUCGGAAUAACUCCCCGAAAGGGGUGCUAAUACCGGAUAAUGUCUUCGGACCAAAGAUUUAUCGCCUUUGGAUGGGCCCGCGUUGGAUUAGCUAGUUGGUAGGGUAAAAGCCUACCAAGGCGACGAUCCAUAGCUGGUCUGAGAGGAUGAUCAGCCACACUGGGACUGAGACACGGCCCAGACUCCUACGGGAGGGAGCAGUGGGGAAUAUUGGACAAUGGGCGAAAGGCUGAUCCAGCAAUGCCGCGUGAGUGAUGAAGGCCUUAGGGUUGUAAAGCUCUUUUACCCGGGAUGAUAAUGACAGUACCGGGAGAAUAAGCUCCGGCUAACUCCGUG
Molecule: ribosomal RNA, 433 nt
Filed under: uncultured bacterium
Lineage: Bacteria
Description: partial 16S ribosomal RNA
Rfam family: Bacterial small subunit ribosomal RNA
Source: RNAcentral